CAGCCGCCACGGUAAUACGUAGGUGGCAAGCGUUGUCCGGAAUUAUUGGGCGUAGAGGGCUCGCAGGCGGUUUCUUAAGUCUGAUGUGAAAGCCCCCGGCUCAACCGGGGAGGGUCAUUGGAAACUGGGAAACUUGAGUGCAGAAGAGGAGAGUGGAAUUCCACGUGUAGCGGUGAAAUGCGUAGAGAUGUGGAGGAACACCAGUGGCGAAGGCGACUCUCUGGUCUGUAACUGACGCUGAGGAGCGAAAGCGUGGGGAGCGAACAGGAUUAGAUACCCGAGUAGUCCCUGUCUCUUAUAC
This 301-nucleotide ribosomal RNA is filed under the name uncultured bacterium. Its description in RNAcentral is "partial 16S ribosomal RNA". It matches the Rfam family "Bacterial small subunit ribosomal RNA", at positions 509 to 807 of the family's 1533-position model. The record is from RNAcentral.